GGAUGUGAGGGCGAUCUGGCUGCAACAUCUGUCACCCCAUUGAUCUCCAGGGCUGAUUCGGCUGAUUUGGCUGGCUGGGCGGGUGUCCCCUUCCUCCCUCACCGCUCCAUGUGUGUCCCUCCCGAAGCUGCGCGCUCCGUCAUAGAGGACGGCCUUCCCCAAUUGAGACGGACCGGUCUUUGGUUGAGGGUAUACGAGUAGCUGCGCUCCCCUGCUAGAACCUCCAAACAAGCUCUCAAAAUGAUCUUCUGGCGGUAGCGCAGCGGGUUAAGCGCACAUGGUGCAAAGAGCA
This is a non-coding RNA of Erinaceus europaeus (western European hedgehog), 292 nucleotides long. The record is from Rfam. NCBI's taxonomy places the organism in Eukaryota, Metazoa, Chordata, Mammalia, Eulipotyphla, Erinaceidae.